AUACGAAAGGUGCAAGCGUUGUUCGGAUUUACUGGGCGUAAAGAGAGUGUAGGUGGUUUAUUAAGUCGGAUGUGAAAUCCCGGGGCUCAACCUCGGAACUGCAUUCGAUACUGAUAGGCUAGAGUUUGGGAGGGGUAAGCGGAAUUCCGUGUGUAGCAGUGAAAUGCGUAGAUAUAAGGAGGAACACCUGAGGCGAAGGCGGCUUACUGGACCAAUACUGACACUCAGACUCGAAAGCCUGGGUAGCAAACAGGAUUAGAAACCCCAGUAGUCC
Molecule: ribosomal RNA, 274 nt
Filed under: uncultured bacterium
Lineage: Bacteria
Description: partial 16S ribosomal RNA
Rfam family: Bacterial small subunit ribosomal RNA
Source: RNAcentral